AACGUAGGUGGCAAGCGUUAUCCGGAUUUACUGGGCGUAAAGCGUGUGCAGGCGGGUGGACAAGUGGGGUAUGAAAUCGCCAGGCUAAACCUGGCGGGGGUAUGCCAGACUGUCCGUCUGGAGUGCGAGAGAGGGGCGUGGAAUUCCGGGUGUAGUGGUGAAAUGCGUAGAGAUCCGGAGGAACCCCAGAGGCGAAGGCGGCGCCCUGGCUCGCAACUGACGCUCAGACACGACAGCAUGGGGAGCGAACGGG
Molecule: ribosomal RNA, 253 nt
Filed under: uncultured bacterium
Lineage: Bacteria
Description: partial 16S ribosomal RNA
Rfam family: Bacterial small subunit ribosomal RNA
Source: RNAcentral